AUCCGGGUUCUUCAGCCUCGUUCCCGGGUAGUAUAAAGUUUGCUGUCUCCUUUGUUCGCCCUCGUUGCGCAGUAGUCCUAGCGGCUUCUCUGUUCCGUUCCUGGGUCCAGCAGCUGUCACUCGUGUUGAGCUGCUUGAAAGGCCCACUCGGCGAGCUCGUAGGAGCUUGAGACCGUCGCCACCCCUCCGGUACGUGUCUCCUUUCCUUGGUUCGUUGUUUCGUACGUUCUUGCCUUGUUAGAACUUGGGAUUAUCUCCCUGGAGAUGAGGGUGGCGGGCGCCAUUUUAAGACACCCAAAGGUGCCGACCUAUUUAAAUAAAGCGGGGUGGGGGGUCGGUCAAAGGAAAACACAUUAGGGGGUUCGUUUCCUUGUAUGUCUCUCUUGAAAGUUUGGCCGUUGCCUGCUGGGGCGGGGGCGGGGGCGGAGGCGGAGGUCGGCGUUUUGUAGCUUGAGCGGGACGCGGAGCCACCGCGCCACCGCGGUACCUGCAUUGGGAUGGCGCUGACGCUAACGAUGGCAUGUGGACUUCCAUGCGGCCUCCUUGUUAAUUGGCAGCCCUGGAGAGGAAGCCCUUGGAAUUUUCCCAGCCAGUAUUGAUGGUAAAAGUUAGUUUCCUGACCAGUGUCAGUUGCUCUGGGCUGAAUCCAAGUGUCGCCAUUUUGUCGUUUCCACGCGGUUUUUAAUGACUAGUCUUAAUUGGGUUCCGUCGCAAUUGUAGCGUGUUGAGUGUUACAGUGUGCGCUUCUGUGUGCUGUUAUUUAAUAUGAAAUGAUGUUGACACUUUGCCUUUUUUUUCCCCCCUUAGGCAGUAACCUUUUUGGCGGGUGGGGGCUGGUGGAGAUGAGGCGGAACUUGGCGCAAACUUAAAAGAUACCUGCUUAGAUUUAGUAACAUACUAAUGAGAGAACGGGUAGCCCUUGAAUGAGGGUUUGGUGUUGAAGUCUUGCCGUCUGGUUAGUGACCUUGAACUAGCCAUUAGUCUUAAAAUCCAUCACUGGGAGAGGGGUGUGAUUGAAUCUGUAAAAGGCAUCAGACCUAGGAUUAAAACUAAAAUUGGCUUUUUCAAAUGUUAAGUACCUGUUAACUCGUUAAAAACAGCCAAGGGGGGGCUGGGAUGUGGCUCAAGCGGUAGCGCGCUCGCCUGGCAUGCGUGCGGCCCGGGUUCGAUCCUCAGCACCACAUACAAACAAAGAUGUUGUGUCCGCCAAAUACUAAAAAAUAAAUAUUAAAAAAUUCUCUCUCUCUCUAAAAAAAAAAAACAGCCAAGGAAGAUUAGGGUGAAAGUGAACUUUGUGUCGGCCCUUUCAACUACUUUAAUGUAGAAUUGCACUAUUACCACUUAGUUUAAAUUGGCUUCCUACUGUGUUGGAAGCUUAUCGUUGUCUUUAGUUAUUAAAGAAUAAAGGUUUUAGUAAAACAAUCCAAACCACAUUUAAAGGUGUCCCAUAAACUUGGGGAACUUCUUCUGGGAGGUAAUACUAUUCUUUUUCAGCAGACUCACCAGGGGGGAAAAAUGGUUGAAGCAGAUCGUCCAGGAAAGCUCUUCAUUGGUGGGCUUAAUACGGAAACAAAUGAGAAAGCCCUUGAAGCAGUAUUUGGCAAAUAUGGACGAAUAGUGGAAGGUGAGUUA
RNAcentral lists this long non-coding RNA (1632 nucleotides) under Marmota monax (woodchuck). Lineage: Eukaryota; Metazoa; Chordata; Mammalia; Rodentia; Sciuridae. The record is from RNAcentral.